AAGUCUGUGGAAUGGGCAUAACCUUAAUAAGUCCUUAUAACGCUCCCAUGCAUCAAACAAAGAUUCCAUAUCUUCUUGCCUAACGUUAUUUAUCUCAUUCCUAACUU
Molecule: small nucleolar RNA, 107 nt
Organism: Vicia villosa (hairy vetch)
Lineage: Eukaryota; Viridiplantae; Streptophyta; Magnoliopsida; Fabales; Fabaceae
Source: RefSeq, a predicted model, not a curated record